This 1076-nucleotide long non-coding RNA is filed under the name Trifolium pratense (red clover). Its description in RNAcentral is "long non-coding RNA (TPRA_LNC010356)". Lineage: Eukaryota; Viridiplantae; Streptophyta; Magnoliopsida; Fabales; Fabaceae. The record is from RNAcentral.
UUUUUGGCGCGUUGGUUUUCGUUUUUGAAAUAAAUUCACCUUUGUAACAACCAAUUUCCUUCUUUGACUGUCUUGGUUAUCUAAAUUUUUUUUACUUUUUGAUAAUGACAAAACGGGGAGUAGUUACGCAUUAAUUGAAAGUUGAUAAGUUUCAAAAAGCUGAAACCACUUUUCUUUGUUAAGUUAUUAAAAGUUAUCUUUUAUUUGUUUUACGUAUUUCAAUGCGGAGAUUAAGUAAUUUAAAACUGAAAUUAAAUUUCAUAAGUAAGGAUAAGUUAAAAGUGCAAUUUUAACUUAGCCUUAUGAGACUCAGGGGGAAAGCUUGCAAACCUCUCGCUCUGAAGAAAGAUAUGAAAUUUGUUUUACUUUAAAUACUUAAGUCUUAUACUAAAUUAAAUUUUCAUGGAUAAAACUUAAAGCUUAGGCUUUAUGGAGNNNNNNNNNNNNNNNNNNNNNNNNNNNNNNNAGUUAAUUUAACAACAAUUGUCAAUUAAUACUUAUGUUUGUCAUCAUCAAAAAGGGGGAGAUUGUUGGAACAAAAUUGAUUUAAAAAUGUUUGCCCCUAAAUCUAUUAAGGUUUUAAUGAUAACAAAGUAUUAAUAAACAAUUGGAAGGACUAAAAAUUUAAUUUAAGUGUGCAGAUAUUAGCUUCAGAUAAGCUCUGAGUGAAGCUCAUAAGAUAUGUAUUCAGAAGUUUACAAGCGCUCAGAAGAUGUUGAACUUCAGAAGUUACAACCUUCAGAUGAUGAAGUCGUCAGAACUUCUUAAGUGACUAAAGCUUCAUCAACCUCUGAAGAUCUUCUUGAAGUCUGUGAAGAUUCUCUUUUGCAAGUCAACUCUUCUACCAAUGAUGAAAAGGACCUUUCAAGCUUGAUCAGAACAGCUACUCUCAUUUUGUCUGUCCACUCUUGAGAACGUGGGACAUCAGACUUGUUAGCUGAAUAAGGAAAGUCUUCUCUGCACAUGGUCAAAGUGUCUGAAACUCUUACUCAGUUUUAGAAACAACCAAACUGCAUCAAGACAAGUUGCUUGAAGACAAAAGGCUAUCUACUUCAACGGUCAUUUCUGCAAUGACU